This 568-nucleotide unclassified non-coding RNA is filed under the name Hevea brasiliensis (rubber tree). Lineage: Eukaryota; Viridiplantae; Streptophyta; Magnoliopsida; Malpighiales; Euphorbiaceae. The record is from RNAcentral.
AAUUGAGAGAUGUGAGUUUUCUUCAUUUUUUUUUUCAAUUGAAUUAUGAGGCUCGUAUGGUGAAGCAAAAGCAUCACCAAACAGGGAACAUGGUGCAAUAUUUGUUUAAGAUUCUUGGUAAUCAUAAGAUUAGCUGGAUAGUUUGUUUAUGUUUAAGGUAGGAGAUUGGGAGCGGGUUAAGUUUGAUAUUUAGUUAAUUGGUUUAGAGCUAGAGCGAAGCAAUGCCUGAGAUUAAAUGGUUAUAAAUGUACUACUGAAGGACCUCAAAUCUCAAUGCUAGUUAAGCAUGGGAAUGUGAUUAAAUUUUUGGCUGCUAAUUGUUUCUUUCAUAAUCUUUAGAGUAAUGUUGUCACGCAUUGUUAUUUAUCUUUUGCGUUUUUUCAUGAAUAAGAUUUUGAUGCGGUGUAUGUAAGUAACUUGGAGGAGAAUGGAACCUAAGCCUUGUUUGGGAGGAAGUUUUUUAGAAUAAACCUUCUGUUUGGGAGCCUCCAAAAAUCUCAAUUUUUAAUAACCUUCAUAUAACUCAAAAAACUUUCACUUUCCUCUAGAUAAAGUCCGUAACGAGAGU